GAUGAACGCUAGCUACAGGCUUAACACAUGCAAGUCGAGGGGAAACGACAUCGAAAGCUUGCUUUUGAUGGGCGUCGACCGGCGCACGGGUGAGUAACGCGUAUCCAACCUGCCCAUCACUUGGGAAUAACCUUGCGAAAGUAAGACUAAUACCCAAUGAUAUCCCACAAAGGCAUCGGAAUGGGAUUAAAGAUUUAUCGGUGAUGGAUGGGGAUGCGUCUGAUUAGCUUGUUGGCGGGGUAACGGCCCACCAAGGCAACGAUCAGUAGGGGUUCUGAGAGGAAGGUCCCCCACAUGGGAACUGAGGAACGGUCCAAACUCCUACGGGAGGCAGCAGUGAGGAAUAUUGGUCAAUGGGCGAGAGCAUGAACCAGCCAAGUAGCGUGCAGGAAGACGGCCCUAUGGGUUGUAAACUGCUUUUAUAAGGGAAUAAAGUGGGUCACGUGUGACUUUUUGCAUGUACCUUAUGAAUAAGGACCGGCUAAUUCCGUG
This 492-nucleotide ribosomal RNA is filed under the name uncultured bacterium. RNAcentral describes it as "partial 16S ribosomal RNA". It matches the Rfam family "Bacterial small subunit ribosomal RNA", at positions 28 to 507 of the family's 1533-position model. The record is from RNAcentral.